This 61-nucleotide non-coding RNA is filed under the name Candidatus Moduliflexus flocculans. Its description in RNAcentral is "Bacterium UASB14 Fluoride sequence". It matches the Rfam family "Fluoride riboswitch aptamer (crcB RNA motif)". The record is from Rfam by way of RNAcentral. Lineage: Bacteria; Candidatus Moduliflexota; Candidatus Moduliflexia; Candidatus Moduliflexales; Candidatus Moduliflexaceae.
UUUUUAUUCGGUGAUGGGGUUCACCGCUAACCGCCGACGUGCUGAUAACUCCUACCAGCGU